Molecule: ribosomal RNA, 576 nt
Filed under: uncultured eukaryote
Lineage: Eukaryota
Description: SSU rRNA
Rfam family: Eukaryotic small subunit ribosomal RNA
Source: RNAcentral
UAUUUAUUAGAUAACAGACCAAUAUUCCUCGUGUCUAUUGUGGUGACUCAUAGUAACUGAUCGGAUCGCAUGGCCUUGUGCCGCGACUAACCAUUCAAGUUUCUGACCCAUCAGCUUUCGAUGGUAGUGUAUUGGACUACCAUGGCUUUCACGGGUAACGGAGGAUUAGGGUUCGAUUCCGGAGAGGGAGCCUGAGAAACGGCUACCACAUCUAAGGAAGGCAGCAGGCGCGUAAAUUACCCAAUCCUGACUCAGGGAGGUAGUGACAAGAAAUAACGGGUCGGGGCAUUCGCCUCGGGAUUGCAAUGAAUCGAAUUUACACCCCUUAAUGAGGAUCAAUUGGAGGGCAAGUCUGGUGCCAGCAGCCGCGGUAAUUCCAGCUCCAAUAGCGUAUAUUAAAGUUGUUGCAGUUAAAAAGCUCGUAGUUUGAUUUCUGGACGGGCGCCAACACCCGCUUGUUUAGUGUGGAGGCGGCGCCCGCCCAUCCUUCUGUUAACGCCACCGGCAUUCGUUUGCUGGCGGUGGGCUCAGAUAUUUUACCUUGAGAAAAAUUAGAGUGUUUCAGGCAGGCUUGCG